UCUCCCUGUGCAAUGGAUAGCUCGUCUGCAUGGCAGCCCUGGUACCCGAAGAUGACCCGACAGGUGUAGGGGUAGGUGCGGGCAGCGUGCUUGGGCUCAGCCUCCUCAAACGUCUCAUCGCUGUCAUAGUCAUCGAACUCAGUGGGGUCCAGCCCCGUGGGUGCCUCUGUGCUGGGGGUGCGUGGGAGCUCCCCACCUGCCCGCACAGCCCCGGCCAGCCAGGAAUCCACAUCCAGCCCCGCCGUGCGCAGCAGUGCCAGCCGUGCCUCUGCCUUCGCCCUGCCAACCUCUGCCUUCCAGAUGUUUUCUCGCACUUCCUCCAUCUGC
RNAcentral lists this long non-coding RNA (327 nucleotides) under Gallus gallus (chicken). The record is from RNAcentral. Lineage: Eukaryota; Metazoa; Chordata; Aves; Galliformes; Phasianidae.